Long non-coding RNA from Cyprinus carpio carpio, 4622 nucleotides. The record is from Ensembl. NCBI's taxonomy places the organism in Eukaryota, Metazoa, Chordata, Actinopteri, Cypriniformes, Cyprinidae.
UGCCUUUUGAAGUAAACAAACACUUUGUAUAAAGGUUUGAGCACUCUAGCUCAAAAAUUCAGCAACUACAAAAUUGCUUCCUAUAGCACGCUUCUGUCAGCAAAUUAAGAGCCAGAAUGGAGAUGUACACGCUAUAUACUGCAUACAUAUAGUAAUCGUAAACAUGCGAUAUAAGGCCAUUUGAUGGCAGUCCCACCGUCAGCAGCCUUGCAGCCAUCGUGACGUCACGAGGGCGUUCCCUCCCUGUGAGCCAGGUGCGUCUCACCUGAGCUCGGCAGUUCUUCCGCUAGCGACGGGAGCUGCAGCAUCCUCAUCCUCCUUCUGAAGAUGACGGCGCUGAGGUACAUCGGCAGCUGCCUGCCGUUAUUCGUCAUGGCGAUCGUCUUCGACAUCCUCGGUGUGGUCCUGCUGUUCGUCGGGAUAUUCGGUAACGUGCGGAUGCACGGCGUGUUUUACGGGGAUUUCCUCAUCCACACCGGCGCGCUGGUCUUGUUCGCCAGCCUGGCCUUGUGGCUCAUGUGGUACGUGGGGAACAUCAGGGUGAAGGACGAAGGUUUGGCGCGCAGAUCGAGUGCCGCGCACAGCGUCAAAAAGCUCGCGAGGAAACUCACGGAGAGACUGUCCAAAACACACCUGAAGGACAACACCGGUGAGAAAACAGGAAGCAAAGCUUCCACCAUUCGAAACGUAACAUGGGGAAAAUCCACCUAUUUCCCAGGACACAAAGAUCCUGAAUCGGAUUUGAUCAAAUGUGAUGAACUAUCCAAAGAAAAGUCUGCUGAUGAUCAGUUCAUGUGCUACCAGAAUCAAGGCUACGAGGACGAGGAGUCAUGCAAACCGAUUCAGGAGACAGAUGACCAGACCCGGUCAGAAGACGGUUCUGAAUCAGAUGUGAGCAAGUGCAACGAAGAGUCUCAGGAGAAGAAGGAAGGGCAUGAAGAAUCAGAAUCAGACGUGACCAAAGAUGCUGAUAAAGCUCAGGAGGAGAAGCCAGUUGAUCAGCCAGAGAGCAUUGAUGUUCUGCUGUGAGAAGAGGUCCUAAAACAAUGACUGAAUAGCCAAGAACCUUCAGUAGUCGUCAGACGUUUGCCAUCAGCAGUACAUUUAGAGAUACUGCGUACAAUUCAAAUAGUACUAUAGUAAAACUGCUUGAAUAUAGUGAAACACAACCCUCUGUUGUGUUUAUAUGGGGGUUGAAGUUUCUCAGUGGCCUGAUAUCUGUAAAGCAGGGUGGCUGAUUUAACACUGUAAUACAUUUUAUGCACACCAAACUGGUGAAAUGAAGUGAACUACUUGCACAGAAAUCAUUAGAAGAAUGUAUAAUGCUUCGACAAAACUGUUGUUUCACCAGCUGAAUGCUGAUCAUCUCAAAAUGGCCAAAAUAUUGUCUGAUGUAUAGACAUUCAAUGUGUGUCACUGUGUCCACUUGUGUUGUGUUCUUGUUAUCAUUGAUAUUCCGUGUUGUUGUAAAGAGCUACUCAGGUACAGCCCUUGUUUUUUGCACAUCCUCAUUUGUAAAUUCACGCACCACCUCAUGCAUUGUAGGAAUCCAUUUCCCUUUCAAAGUGAAAGCUGAGUGUUCAUGCAAACUCCUUCAGAGUCAAGCCAUUUCAUUUGUUACACUCAAUGUUGUCACCAGCGACCAAACCAGUCCGACAGCAAAUGGACUGAUAGUUUAUUCAUGCGAUCUGUUAGUUCAUCUUGGUACACAAGUGAAAGCUGUAUAUAUAUAUAUAUAUAUAUAUAUAUAUAUAUAUAUUUCAAAAUAUACAAAAAAGGUCAAAAUGUUUUCUAAAAUGUUUUAAAAUUCAUUUAAUGUAAAUAUCUUUUCUACCAAUAUAUUGUAAGCCUUUUUUUGUAUAUUUUACAUUUUUAUUUUAAAUUAUGGUUUAAAAAAAAUGAUUUUGCCCUUCAGAUAUUUAAAUCCAAGAAAAUACAUUGUAACAAUGUUAUCAUUUUUACAGUAUUUUCUUGUCUCCAAAAUACAUUUUUAAAUAUUUAUGAAGUAUAUAUAAAUACAUUUUAAAUUUAUAUAUAUAUAUAUAUAUAUAUAUAUAUAUAGAUAUAGAUAUAUAGAUAUAGAUAUAUAGAUAGAUAUAUUUAAUAUUAUUGAGCUUGACUGCUUACAGCAUGUGUUUGAAAUAUAUUUUGUCUGUUUUUUUGUUUGUUUGCUUUUUGGUCAUAUGGGUUUAUCCAACAUUGCUUUAGUGGAAAGAAAUCAAUCAAAUCAAUUGCUUAAAUUACUGCUAAUUAUUGUGGCUACACAAAGAAUUAAUUCAACUAUAAUCAACUAUAUUUUUAUUUAUAUAUUCUUUUUUCAGUAGUGAGCGAGCUAUGCUUGCGUAAACAUGCUAUGAAAAAUUGGAUGACGUAUGUAAAUAUAAAACAUGUAAUCUUGACAUGCCAAACAAAUCCUGACUAAAACACUCCCUCUUUCACUCACAAUACUGUAGUUGCUGUCGUUGUAACCAAUGCAAUAUGAAAUGCAUGUAAAGUCAAAGCUGUUUUCAGUUUGUAUAAAUGAUACACACUAUUAAACCACAUUUCACCCAUAUGACUGUGUGGUUCAUUAGUGAUGUUUGUUUAGUCAGCAUUGCUUACGGUUAGUGAUUUGAUCUAAUGCCUAACCUUUAAUUUUCAAAUUGAAUAAUGCCUCAAUUCGUGAGACUUCCUGAAACGUGCAGUGUGUUUCUGUGACUCAUACUGGUUGUUUGAGAAUUACGUAACUGAGAAAACAACUCAGCAAAACUUGUAAUGCUUCAUCUGCGCCGGUGCUUUGACGAAGGCUUUUCUCUGUCUGUGGAAAUCUCUGAAUCUGUUCUAGUUUAUCUAGUAGAUCCACUGUCACGGUGAUGAGAACAGUCUGAGGAAUAAUAUGCAAAAAAAUAAGUCUUGACAAUUCCAAUAGGCGUUCGGCAGGCAGUUGAACUUGUUUUGGUGGUUGCAUGCCUCCCGUCAAAGAAAUGCACUGCGUAAGAAUGUGGGUGAGCUGCUUUAUGAAAGUCUUGUGGAGAGAACGUUCCUGUCAUUCACUCUUCAGGCUCAUCAGCCUGCCAUACGUCGGUCGGCUCUCCUCACCUGAGCUUCUCCAAGAUGGACUGCAAGGAAAGAGUGGGACGCUGCUUCCUCUUUCUCUUCUUGGCUGUUCUGCUUGACGUAGCCGGACUAGCUCUCUUCCUCAUUGGCAUUUUUGCACCCAUCAGUUUUUGGGAUUUGUUUGUCCUGUCCGGACCGAUCAUCAUCUUCCUUAGCUUGGUGUUUUGGAUCUUUUGGUACCUGGGGAACCUAACGGUGCCAUACCGAGAACUCCUGCCCAAGUGAUCAUGGACUGGAGGAGGAAUAUGGACUGGAGAAGUCGAAUAAAUUAACUUCAGGAAAACAAAAGGACUUUGGGAAUCACUGAGUGACUAACAGAAUGGAUGAAUGACGUGUCACUUGAAGGCCUGCUGGAGUCAACCAUUUGAUCAUCAUUGUCUUUGGAAAUUAAACUCUUAACAGUGAUUGCCUUCUCAAGAAUGAGAAUGAACGUGGGGUGCCAGAAGAUAAACCCUGUUAAUGAAUUUUAACAGCGAAGGACUGGACAGCUUGACAUCCAAAAAAUCAGCUACUUCAAUUAGAUCUUCAUUUUUUUUUUGUCCAUUUUUUGAGCACAUCAUGAUCGUGAAAGACUUAUUUUUGAGUAUCAUGUGUAGUUCGCGCCUCUUUUUGGAAGAUCCUGUCAUGCACUUUAUGGAAAACGUUGGAAAACCUCAGGUGAACCUCUCAAGUGCUGAGCUUGACCAUAGACACUAUGAUUAUUGCACUGUACUGAAAGUGAAUUAUUGAUUUAUGAUCGAUGUCUUGCAUUUUCCACAGUCUUUUACCUUUAUUUACAGGUUUACAAAACCUGUUAUAACCAAUAUAACCAUUAAGAACAGAAAAAUGUUGAUGCUGAAUGUGAACACCUGUAUGAAAUGAUACUGUGGUUAUUGUGAAUGUAACGUAUAAGAUUAAUUUAUAAAACAAAGUUUUUGUUUGCUCAGUGACAAUCGGGGUGUCGUCUUCUAAAGUCUUUUGUUUUGGUCAGAGAUGUCUUUCUGGAAACCAGAUGAGCUGGAAACACCAGUGCAAACAUCAGCAUUGAGCGUGAGAGAUCCACCCUGUGAGCAUGACGCACAAUAUUUUUUUCUUUGUGAUUUUGCAUGAGGUGCUUCCUUGUCAAGGUGUCCAGUAUUUUGAGAUCAUGGGACCAGCCCAAUGCUACACGUUUCUCAGUAAACACCCAAUCAGUCAUUUUGACUGCAGAAUAAAUAGAUAAUGGUUGACAUUGGUUGAUAAUGGUGAUAUUUAUAUUGCUUUUCAGUGUUCAGAUCUAAAGACAUUUCUGUUUGGUACAAUGAAUACUUGAUGUUCAAUGUAAAUUUUGGAUACUGAAGCAAAACCAGUUGGGAUAGAUUAUGUAAUGGAUAGAAGUAAAUAAAAUCAAUAUUAAUAAAGGAAAUACACUGGAAAUGGCAGCAGUAUUAUUAUACAGAAUGUACAGCGCUGCUCAGAGUUAGCUGGACUUCAAUAAUGUUCUCAAAACAUUAGCACAGAAACACUUUAAUCAUGAUUUAUAGAAUGUUUUUCUGAAACAUUUUAGU